Molecule: long non-coding RNA, 1510 nt
Organism: Prosopis cineraria
Lineage: Eukaryota; Viridiplantae; Streptophyta; Magnoliopsida; Fabales; Fabaceae
Exons: 2
Source: RefSeq, a predicted model, not a curated record
AAAUCUUUCAUCUUUUUCGGCUAACCCUAAUUCUCCUUUCAAGUCUGCUCAUCACCUUCAUGCUUGUGUACGAAACAAAGUCCACACACAAACCUUCAUUGCUGUCUUUCUGCAAUCUUUCUAUGAAAGACGACGUUGUCCGAACAAGAAGGCAUCAAAGACGCCUCCAAUCACAACGUCGCCACUCCUUUAGAUCUGAAUCAUCCCUUGUAUCUUCAUCCUUCAGAGACGCAGAUGACUACACUGUUAUCCGAACCUCUAAUCAGAACCACAAACUAUGCAAAAUAGAGUCGAGCCAUGAAGAUGGCUCUCUAAGCAAGAAACAAGAUCGGUAUUGUUGAUGGUUCCUACAGACGAGAUGCCCAAGAUCCCACUCUCCCACUCUCUAUGCACAGUGGGAUUGUUGCAAUGUUGUCAUACUCUCAUGGUUGGUUAACUUUGUAUCUAAGGAAAUUUCAGCUAGCAUCACCAUUUUAGAAAACGUGAAUCUCAUUUGGGAAGAUCUCCAAGAACGCUUCAGUGUCAUCGAUGGCUCCAAGAUUUACAGCCUACAUCAUUUAAUCAACUCUCGCACACAAGAAUCGAUGUCAGUAUCAAGCUAUUUUACGGGAUUGAAGGAGUUAUGAGAGAAGUAUUCUACAGUUGUGCCUUUACCUAAUUGUUUUGUUGAUGCACCCAACAGUCAAUUACGCCUAUUCACUAGUCUGCCAAGAAGAGAUGCAGCGCAACUUAACCCUUCCUCCACAUAGCCUGAGUAAUGAAGGCUUUGCCAUGGCAAUUAGAAGACGUGGUAGGUUCAAUAGAGGAUAAGAACGGGCAGGUUCAUCUAAAGAAUGUAUAUAUUGUCACCAAGAAGGCCACAAAUGAGGCAAUUGCUAUCAUUUAGUAGGAUUCCUACUAGGCUUUGGCAAAGGAAGAGGCACUCAGGAUCGACAAGUCAACACGCAAAUACCCCUUCUACUAAUUUAGUCCCAUCUAAUCACAAGAACGUCAACUCCUUUCUUAACAAGACUAUAUAUAAUAAUAUUCUCAAGAUACUGCACCAGGAUACCAAAUCCAUCCCUGUUGGUGCUGUGACUGCAAAUGACUCGAAAGAGUCAUCAGGUUCAGUUUACAAUAUUUUACCUAUUAUAAAUUCAAUUGCACAUAUUUCAAAUAUGCAUAAAGCACAAUGGUUGUUGGAUUUAGGGGCCAUUGCACAUGUUGUUAGUUCAUGAAAUGUUUUAGAUAAGUACACUAAAUAUAUUAGCCCCUUAUUAAAAUACGUAUCCCAAAUUGAGAAAAACUACCUAUCACACACAGAGGAUCCAUCACAUUGUUUGAUAAUAUAGUCCUAGACAAUGUUCUAUAUGCAACUGGAAUAUCUUAUGAUCUAGUUUCCAUUUCAUAUCUCACUUCAAAACUCAAUUGUGUUGUUGCUUUCUUUCCUGAUGUAUGUGUCUUAUAAGAUCUUUAUAAUGAAAGCACCAGGAUGAUUGGUAAAAUAGAUUCUGGACCUUACAUUGUUGAA